CCUACGGGUGGCAGCAGUGGGGAAUAUUGCACAAUGGGGGAAACCCUGAUGCAGCGACGCCGCGUGAGUGAAGAAGUCAUUCGUGAUGGAAAGCUCUAUCAGCAGGGAAGAAAAUGACGGUACCUGACCAAGAAGCCCCGGCUACCUACGUGCCAGCAGCCGCGGUAAUACGUAGGGGUGAAGCGUUAUCCGGAUUUACUGGGUGGAAAGGGGGCGUAGACGGUUGCGCAAGUCUGGAGUGAAAGGCGGGGGGCCAACCCCCGGACUGCUGUGGAAACUGUGGAACUGGAGUGCGGGAGAGGUAAGCGGAAUUCCUAGUGUAGCGGUGAAAUGCGUAGAUAUUAGGAGGAACACCAGUGGCGAAGGCGGCUUACUGGACUGUAACUGACGUUGAGGCUCGAAAGCGUGGGGAGCAAACAGGAUUAGAUACCCCUGUAGUC
Molecule: ribosomal RNA, 440 nt
Filed under: uncultured bacterium
Lineage: Bacteria
Description: partial 16S ribosomal RNA
Rfam family: Bacterial small subunit ribosomal RNA
Source: RNAcentral